RNAcentral lists this ribosomal RNA (496 nucleotides) under uncultured bacterium. RNAcentral describes it as "partial 16S ribosomal RNA". It matches the Rfam family "Bacterial small subunit ribosomal RNA", at positions 28 to 506 of the family's 1533-position model. The record is from RNAcentral.
GAUGAACGCUGGCGGCGUGCCUAAUACAUGCAAGUCGAGCGAACAGACGAGGAGCUUGCUCCUCUGACGUUAGCGGCGGACGGGUGAGUAACACGUGGAUAACCUACCUAUAAGACUGGGAUAACUUCGGGAAACCGGAGCUAAUACCGGAUAAUAUAUUGAACCGCAUGGUUCAAUAGUGAAAGACGGUUUUGCUGUCACUUAUAGAUGGAUCCGCGCCGCAUUAGCUAGUUGGUAAGGUAACGGCUUACCAAGGCAACGAUGCGUAGCCGACCUGAGAGGGUGAUCGGCCACACUGGAACUGAGACACGGUCCAGACUCCUACGGGAGGCAGCAGUAGGGAAUCUUCCGCAAUGGGCGAAAGCUUGACGGAGUAACGCAGCGUGAGUGAUGAAGGGCUUCGGAUCGUAAAACUCUGUUAUUAGGGAAGAACAAAUGUGUAAGUAACUAUGCACGUCUUGACGGUACCUAAUCAGAAAGCCACGGCUAACUACGU